AACAUAAAAAUGGGGCGCCCGGUUAGCUCAGUGGAGAGCUGGUGUACAAAAAUUAGACACAUACUAUCACAGACAGAUGCAGAAAAACUAAUCCAUGCAUUUGUUACUUCAAGGCUGGAUUACUGCAACUCUUUAUUAUCAGGUUGCCCCAAUAAGUCCAUUAAAACGCUCCAAUUAAUUCAGAACGCUGCAGCACGAGUACUGACAGGAACUAGAAAAAGAGAUCACAUCUCUCCUGUACUAGCUACUCUGCAUUGGCUCCCUAUAAAAUGUAGAAUUGAAUUUAAAAUCCUCCUCCUCACCUAUAAAGCUCUUCAUGGUCAGGCCCCUUCAUAUCUUAAAGAGCUCAUAGUACCCUAUUACCCCACUAGAACACUACGUUCUCUGAAUGCUGGGCUACUUGUGGUUCCUAUAGUCUCUAAAAGUAGAACAGGAGCCAGAGCCUUCAGUUACCAAGCUCCUCUCCUGUGGAACCAGCUUCCAGUUGUGGUUCGGGAGGCAGACACCCUCACCACAUUCAAGAGUAGGCUUAAGACAUUCCUCUUUGAUAAAGCUUAUAGUUAGGGCUGGAUCAGGUGAGUCCUGAACCAUCCCUUAGUUAUGCUGCUAUAGGCCUAGACUAUCGGGGGAUUUCCCAUGGUGCACUGAGCUACUCUCUUCCUCUCUCUUUCUGCACUCAUUCAUGUCCCUUUAAUGCAUGUUACUAACUUCACUUCUUCCCCGGAGUUCUUGUGCUUUCUCGUCUCGCAGGUUCUCAUGGAUCCUGGUGGAGCCUCCUGCCAUGGUCCUGCUUGACUGCCAUUGCCAAUACUGUUGUUGCUGUGCACCUGUCUGUCUGUCUGUCGCUCUCUCUCUCUCUCUCUCUCUCUCUCUCUCUCUCUCUCUCACCCCAACUGGUCGAGACAGACGACCACCCACCUAGAGCCGGAGGAUCUGUCCUAGGUUUCUGCCUUUUAACAGGCAGUUUUUCCUUGCCCUUGUCGCCAAGUGCUUGCUCAUGGUGGUACUGUUGGGUCUCUGUAAUUAAUGUUAUAAAGAGUUCGGUCUAGACCUGCUCUAUUUGAAAAGUGUCCUGAGAUAACUUCUGUUAUGAAUUGGCGCUAUACAAAUAAAAUUGAAUUGAAUUGAA
Long non-coding RNA from Dicentrarchus labrax (European seabass), 1129 nucleotides. RefSeq lists it as uncharacterized. NCBI's taxonomy places the organism in Eukaryota, Metazoa, Chordata, Actinopteri, Moronidae. The transcript is spliced from 2 exons. The record is from RefSeq and is a predicted model, not a curated record.